UCCGGUGGCAAUAGCAGAGGGGCCACACCCGAUCCCAUCUCGAACUCGGUAGUUAAGCCCUCUUGCGCCAAUGAUACUGCUCGGGUGACUGAGUGGAAAAGUAGGACGCUGCCGGGA
Molecule: ribosomal RNA, 117 nt
Filed under: Fidelibacterota bacterium
Lineage: Bacteria; Pseudomonadati; Fidelibacterota
Source: RNAcentral